AGAGUUUGAUCCUGGCUCAGAGCGAACGNNNNNNGGAGUAACACAUGCAAGUCGAACGAUCCUUCGGGAUAGUGGCGGACGGGUGAGUAACACGUGGGAACGUGCCUUUAGGUUCGGAACAACACAGGGAAACUUGUGCUAAUACCGGAUGUGCCCUUCGGGGGAAAGAUUUAUCGCCUUUAGAGCGGCCCGCGUCUGAUUAGCUUGUUGGUGAGGUAAAGGCUCACCAAGGCUACGAUCAGUAGCUGGUCUGAGAGGAUGGCCAGCCACACUGGGACUGAGACACGGCCCAGACUCCUACGGGAGGCAGCAGUGGGGAAUCUUGCGCAAUGGGCGAAAGCCUGACGCAGCCAUGCCGCGUGGAUGAUGAAGGUCUUAGGAUUGUAAAAUCCUUUCAGCGGGGACGAUAAUGACGGUACCCGCAGAAGAAGCCCCGGCUAACUUCGUGCCAGCAGCCGCGGUAAUACGAAGGGGGCUAGCGUUGCUCGGAAUUACUGGGCGUAAAGGGCGCGUAGGCGGACAGUUAAGUUGGGGGUGAAAGCCCGGGGCUCAACCUCGGAAUUGCCUUCAAUACUGGCUGUCUUGAGUGUGAGAGAGGUGUGUGGAACUCCGAGUGUAGAGGUGAAAUUCGUAGAUAUUCGGAAGAACACCAGUGGCGAAGGCGACACACUGGCUCACUACUGNNNNUGAGGCGCGAAAGCGUGGGGAGCAAACAGGAUUAGAUACCCUAGUAGUCC
Molecule: ribosomal RNA, 737 nt
Filed under: uncultured bacterium
Lineage: Bacteria
Description: bacterial SSU rRNA
Rfam family: Bacterial small subunit ribosomal RNA
Source: RNAcentral